GACGAACCGUGCGAACGUUAUUCGGAAUCACUGGGCUUAAAGCGCGUGUAGGCGGGACGGCACGUCGGUCGCUGAAAGCCCCCGGCUCAACCGGGGAACGGGCGCCGAUACGACCGUCCUGGAGGGACGUAGGGGGACCUGGAACUUCCGGUGGAGCGGUGAAAUGCGUUGAGAUCGGAAGGAACGCCCGUGGCGAAAGCGGCGCACUGGACCACAACUGACGCUGAGGCGCGAAAGCUAGGGGAGCAAACAGG
Molecule: ribosomal RNA, 254 nt
Filed under: uncultured bacterium
Lineage: Bacteria
Description: partial 16S ribosomal RNA
Rfam family: Bacterial small subunit ribosomal RNA
Source: RNAcentral